UGGGAGCUCUGUGGGGAGAUCCAUGAACCCAGCGCAUCUGACCACUGGAAUGAUGGAGUUCACUUAUGCGUCCCAAAUCUGAGGCACAAUCCUCUCACUGGCAACUGGAACCCGGAACCAUACAGGGAAAGGGGUUCUGGGAAACAUGGUUCCCAGCCUUAGACGGGCAUGGUGAUUGGCCAUGAGUUGACUGAGUUGUCCAGCACAGAGGUACAAGCCUGGCUGCCAGAUUCUGGAAGCUGAACUGAGGAAAGAGUCUGGGAGUCUCACUGUUCAGAAUAUGGACUUAAAUUUAACCCUUCUUUUUACUAAGGCACCUAAUUCUUCCUUGGCUGUGCCUAAUAUCCCUAAGUCCAGAGCUGCUCCAGUACAAGCUCUCCAGAGUGUGAAACUUGUGUUGGGGAGGACGGGAGAGAAGACCAAAAUUUAACAGAGGCCUUCUACAGACUCCCAGUCAGUCCUCUGUUUUCAGUCCCAUCCCCUGAGCCUUUCCGCCAUUCUGUACAGCUACCAGAUGGCUGCUGGGAGCUUUCUUCUCUGGGGUCUUAGGUUCUGCCUUUUUCUGCUAUGCUAAGGUCAUUUCCACUUAUUUGUCCAUUCUCUAAGAUUUCGUUGACAGCUCUCACCUGCUGCUGUCUACUCUUGCAUUCUCUUUGUCCUUACUGGGUCAUACUUAUUUCAUUCCUUUAUCAUCAUAUUAGUGGCAUUUCAGAAAGAAAUCAACAAAGCCAUGUGUUCACCAUGUUUAACUGAAGUCUAAUAAGAUUUUUCAGAUAAAUAGUAUGUAGUGCAAAGAGCUCAAAGUCAGGUGACCCAGCCUGUUCCAGCCAUCUUACCCUUUUACUUUUAAGGAGCCCAGUUUUCUCAUCUCCAAAACAAGUUGGUCCCUUGGAGUCCUUUUUAAAGACUCUAAUGAAAGCUGUGGCCCCCUCCCUUAAAAAAAUAGUAUAAGUACACAUACACACAAAAUUGAGUAUGUUUUAAAAGAUUCACAGGUCCCCGAAGGCCUUCCAUGAACCCUUCAAAGGUAUUCACCCCCAAGUUCAGAGCACCUGGCUUAGAUCAUCUCUGAUGUUGCUUUUAGAUCUGACAUUCUGAUUCUCAAUGCUCUAAGAUUUAAAUGCAAUAGAUUUCAAUGAUGACAUUUCAAGCUGGCCUUUUUAAAAGUUAAUGAAAGAGUUUUCAAAGUACUAUUUAUCAGGAAACCAAGCAAGCUUGAGUCCAAAAGUUACUCUGACUUCAGUUCAGAGAGGUCAAGGGGCUUAGAAGUUCAAGUGGCUUGUGGACUUCUAGAUGGCUGAUCAGCAUGGCUUGUGGAAGGAGUGCCCAGAGAUCAAAGAAACCCUCUGUUGUUUGCUCACCAUGACCAAUGCCAUGGAAUCGUUGCAAGAAAUCUAGGCAGAGGCUUGACCAGCAGCAUCUAGUGGCAUCCAGGUGACAUUAGCAGUGGCCUCCCUGACAGUGCAUUUUCAUGCUGUGUAAUUUUGAAUAAUGGUGUCUAGAAAACAAGCUAAACUGAGCUAUGGAGUAGGGAAUAGCAUCCCUAUGUACCCAAGAGACCUUACAUUAUUUUUGGUCUUUAUUUCCAGCUCUUCAGAACCUGAAAGGCAGCAUAGCUCCUGGGACUGUGUGUGUGUUAUACAGCGGCUAAGGAGGAAGAUGAUUUGUUUCGGGCUGUGCAGAGUGAGUGAAGAUGGAGCUGCAGUUAGUGUCCAUGGAACAGAUGCAACACUAUCUGCCUCACCCUACCUGUGACUAUCCUCUCACUGGUUGGCAGGGCUUGAAGGAAGAAACAUAAUCCACCCAAGCUCCCAGCAAGCAGGAGUCCCUAAGAGUCAGGACCAGGAUCUCAUAGCAAAGUGGAAUUCAUCUCUAAAAAGAGGUUUAUGGCUGACCAGACUUCAUCAGUUCAGAUAUGUCUGCCCCCAUAGGGAAGGUGAGUGUAUGGUCAAGACCAGAGCUCAGUAUUUCAGAGAACUCUCUGGUUAGAUUCCACAUCAGAGUGAAUUACUGUCCUGUCACAAUUCUUGUAACACAUGGUAUCUCUGUUAAAGCACAUAAUACAUUCUACCUUGAAUUAGA
Equus caballus (horse) is the source of this 2082-nucleotide non-coding RNA. Lineage: Eukaryota; Metazoa; Chordata; Mammalia; Perissodactyla; Equidae. The record is from RefSeq and is a predicted model, not a curated record.